Molecule: small RNA, 125 nt
Filed under: Marmota monax (woodchuck)
Lineage: Eukaryota; Metazoa; Chordata; Mammalia; Rodentia; Sciuridae
Source: RNAcentral
GCUGGGCGUGGUGGCACACACCUGUAAUCCCAGCAGCUCUGGAGGCCGAGGCAGGAGGAUUGCAAGUUAAAUGUCAGCUUCAGCAAUAGUGAGGUGCUAAGCAACUCAGUGAGAUCCUAUCUCUA